This 854-nucleotide long non-coding RNA is filed under the name Pelobates cultripes (western spadefoot toad). The record is from RNAcentral. Lineage: Eukaryota; Metazoa; Chordata; Amphibia; Anura; Pelobatidae.
GCUGCAGGGGUGGGAGCUGCUGGUGAGGUCAGGGCUGCAGGGAGGGAGCUGCUGGUAAGGUCAGGGCUGCAGGGAGGGAGCUGCUGGUAAGGUCAGGGCUGCAGGGAGGGAGCUGCUGGUAAGGUCAGGGCUGCAGGGAGGGAGCUGCUGGUAAGGUCAGGGCUGCAGGGUGGGAGCUGCUGGUGAGGUCAGGGCUGCAGGGAGGGAGCUGCUGGUGAGGUCAGGGCUGCAGGGAGGGAGCUGCUGGUAAGGCCAGGGCUGCAGGGAGGGAGCUGUGGGCAAGGCUGGGGAGGGGGGCACAUUUUAAAAACUCUAAUGAUGUCAUCUUCAGCUGCCAUUUUGUGUACAAAUGCAGGAAAAGUUCACCUUUAAUCUCUUGGCAAUAAGCAAUGCUUUGUGCAGGUGGGGGAUGGUUAACAUUCACGGGUAGAACUGCUUGCCGCUGAAUUACUUUGUAUAUUUACACGGAUAUGUUUAUAGUUUGUUGUAUUUUGAAUUUUUACCAAAUGCUUUCUGUAUAAUCUCUGUGUAUAAACCUAUACAAUGUGUAUAUAGUCACUUGCUGUGUCUGGUUAUUGCAUAAUUUGAUGAAUAGAAGAUUAACAGUUGUGUCCGAUCUUUGUGUGAGGUGGAAAGUCACUGGAAAUGUGGACAUGCUUAUAAUCUACCUGCACUUAGAGACCUGGCUGUCCCCCUCUGAUAGCGCUACACCUGCCUCUUAAUGUUUUGGUGGGCUACAAUUCUCUCACUCCUAGACUCCCCUGUAAAGGAGGCGGCGUAGACAUCCUUCUCUCCCCUCAAUGUACCUUUCAACCAAUUAUAACUCCCCCUGCCCUAUCCUUUACUUCUUUUGA